This is a non-coding RNA of Mycena latifolia, 90 nucleotides long. The record is from the annotation of a GenBank genome assembly. Lineage: Eukaryota; Fungi; Basidiomycota; Agaricomycetes; Agaricales; Mycenaceae.
UACCCGAUGGCACAAGGUGUGCGUUUUUUGUUCUUCAGGAGGUCACGAAGCUUUAAGCAGAAGGUCCCCGUUCGAUUCGGGGUCGGGUGA